RNAcentral lists this ribosomal RNA (254 nucleotides) under uncultured bacterium. RNAcentral's name for it is "partial 16S ribosomal RNA". It matches the Rfam family "Bacterial small subunit ribosomal RNA", at positions 524 to 776 of the family's 1533-position model. The record is from RNAcentral.
CACGUAGGGCGCAAGCGUUUGUCCGGAUUUAUUGGGCGUAAAGAGCUCGUAGGCGGCUUGUCGCGUCGAAUGUGAAAACCCGAGGCUCAACUUCGGGCUUGCAUUCGAUACGGGCAGGCUCGAGUUCGGUAGGGGAGACUGGAAUUCCUGGUGUAGCGGUGAAAUGCGCAGAUAUCAGGAGGAACACCGGCGGCGAAGGCGGGUCUCUGGGCCGAUACUGACGCUGAGGAGCGAAAGCGUGGGGAGCGAACAGG